RNAcentral lists this ribosomal RNA (526 nucleotides) under uncultured bacterium. Its description in RNAcentral is "bacterial SSU rRNA". It matches the Rfam family "Bacterial small subunit ribosomal RNA", at positions 35 to 599 of the family's 1533-position model. The record is from RNAcentral.
GCUGGCGGCGUGCCUAACACAUGCAAGUCGAACGCCCUGCGCAAGCAGGGAGUGGCGGACGGGUGAGGAACACGUGGGCAUCUACCUUUAGGUGAGGAAUACCGGCGAGAAAUCGCCGACAAGACCGCAUAAGCUCCCGCAAGGGAGGAAAGUCGCAAGACGCCUGAAGAUGAGCCUGCGCCCGAUUAGCUAGUUGGUGGGGUAAAAGCCUACCAAGGCGACGAUCGGUAGCUGGUCUGAGAGGACGAUCAGCCACACUGGGAUUGAGAACGGCCCAGACUCCUACGGGGGGCAGCAGUGAGGAAUUUUCGUCAAUGGGCGCAAGCCUGAACGAGCAACGCCGCGUGCAGGAAGAAGGUUUUCGGAUCGUAAACUGCUUUUCUGUGGGAAGAGAACGGACGGUACCACAGGAAGAAGCCCCGGCUAACUACGUGCCAGCAGCCGCGGUAAUACGUAGGGGGCAAGCGUUGUCCGGAGUUACUGGGCGUAAAGGGCGUGCAGGCGGUUUGGCAAGUUUGGAGUGACA